GCGUUGCUGAGGAGUUCCACAAUAGGACGAAACGCCCGUCCAGUGC
Molecule: non-coding RNA, 46 nt
Filed under: Schistosoma curassoni
Lineage: Eukaryota; Metazoa; Platyhelminthes; Trematoda; Strigeidida; Schistosomatidae
Source: RNAcentral